RNAcentral lists this long non-coding RNA (413 nucleotides) under Phoenix dactylifera (date palm). RNAcentral describes it as "long non-coding RNA (PDAC_LNC012553)". The record is from RNAcentral. Lineage: Eukaryota; Viridiplantae; Streptophyta; Magnoliopsida; Arecales; Arecaceae.
UUAGGGUUCUGAAAACCCUAGCCGACGAGCAAGAAAGAGGGGGGCGCCGACAGGGUGAUGUAGCCACAAGUUUGGUCCCGGGUGAGAAGGAGAUGAACACAGGCGCCGAGCAAAGAGAUAAUGAAACCCUCGGUAGGUUAGGGUUUACCUCCGGGAAGCCCAGUUGUGGGUUCUGAAAACCCUAGCCGACGAGCAAGAAGGAGGGGGGCGUCGACGAGGUGAUGUAGCCGCGAUCGGGAGGCGUGAUGUAGCCGGAGAGGAGAGGGAGAGGCCGGAGGUGGAGGAGAGGAGAGGCCGGAGUUGGAGGAGAGGAGAGGAGAUGGGAAGCCGGAGGGGAGGCAAAAAUGGUCGGCAAGGGGGAGCCGGAGAGGAGAGGCCGGAGGCGGAGGAGAGGAGAGGAGAUGGGAAGCCGC